Non-coding RNA from Arachis ipaensis, 307 nucleotides. The record is from RefSeq and is a predicted model, not a curated record. NCBI's taxonomy places the organism in Eukaryota, Viridiplantae, Streptophyta, Magnoliopsida, Fabales, Fabaceae.
GAUAUCUCUGCUCCAUUGACUUGACUCUCUUUCAUAAUCAGAUCGGGUGGCUUUAUUUUCUUUUGUAUCAUCUGGUCUUCUUCCAUGAAAAUAGUUUCAUGCAUUAUCGCUCCUUCCACGGGAGAACAUUAGUGGUCAUGGAGGGAUGCUUGCAAUUUGUCCAUAAUGUCGAGGUUCAAUAUGGCUUGCUGUUGAGUAUUUUGGUUAUCACAUGGGUUUUGUUUGUGUAGGUAUUUUGGUUGGGUAAGUCGAGUUGUAUCUUAUGAUGCUGCAUCAUAUGAUGGGCUAGGGCUGGUUUGAAUUUUGU